ACGUCUCCCGCCGCGCUCGGUCUUGCGUCUUUUUGUCACAGAUCUUGAGCUGGAUACCUGAAUAUGUACAACAUAUCCAGCGUAGCGAGACGAGAUCGAACAUCGGCGGUCUUUGAGUACGGGCAAGGCAUGCGCUUCCCAUAGCCUUAUCUCGUAAUUUACCAGUCGGAACAGA
Molecule: small nucleolar RNA, 175 nt
Filed under: Pseudocercospora musae
Lineage: Eukaryota; Fungi; Ascomycota; Dothideomycetes; Mycosphaerellales; Mycosphaerellaceae
Source: RNAcentral